GCUCACUUUGGCAGUAUGUAUUAAAAAUAGAAUGAUGUAGAAAAGAUGAGCAUGGCCCCUGUGCAAGGCUAACACGAAAAUUCGUGAAGCAUUCUGUAAAAGA
This is a small nuclear RNA of Gracilinanus agilis (Agile Gracile Mouse Opossum), 103 nucleotides long. Lineage: Eukaryota; Metazoa; Chordata; Mammalia; Didelphimorphia; Didelphidae. The record is from RefSeq and is a predicted model, not a curated record.